This 763-nucleotide non-coding RNA is filed under the name Megasphaera geminata F0357. RNAcentral's name for it is "Anaeroglobus geminatus F0357 Bacterial large subunit ribosomal RNA". It matches the Rfam family "Bacterial large subunit ribosomal RNA", at positions 1 to 787 of the family's 2925-position model. Lineage: Bacteria; Bacillati; Bacillota; Negativicutes; Veillonellales; Veillonellaceae. The record is from Rfam by way of RNAcentral.
AGUUAAGUAAGAAAGGGCGUACGGCGGAUGCCUGGGCCAUAUCAGCCGACGAAGGACGCGAUAAGCUGCGAAAAGCUGCGGGGAGGUGCAAGUAACCGGAGAGCCGCAGAUAUCCGAAUGGGGAAACCCGGCAGUAGGAGUACUGUCACCUCUCGGACGAGAGGAGGGCACCCGGUGAACUGAAACAUCUAAGUAGCCGGAGGAAAAGGAAUCAACAGAGAUGCCCCCAGUAGCGGCGAGCGAAAAGGGCGGAGCCCAAACCGGGGCGGGAAACCGCGCCGGGGUAGAGGACUACCGAAAGACAGCAGGAUGAAGUCGAAGCAGGUGGGAACCUGCGCCGCAGACGGUGAGAGCCCGGUAGACGUAAAGAGAGCUGAGGGGUAGGAUCCGGAGUACCACGGGGCACGAGGAACCUUGUGGGAAGCAGGGGGGACCACCCUCCAAGGCGAAAUACUGAUAUGGACCGAUAGCGCAGAGUACCGUGAGGGAACGGUGAAAAGAACCCCGGGAGGGGAAUGAAGAGAACCUGAAACCGUAUGUCUACAAGCAGUCGAAGCACGAUGCAGGUGCGACGGCGUGCCUAUUGAAGAAUGAACCGGCGAGUUAUUUUUUUCGGCGAGGUUAAGCGGCAGACGCGGAGCCGAAGCGAAAGCGAGUCUGAAGAGGGCGCGAAGUCGAAAGGAAUAGACCCGAAACCACAGUGAUCUAUCCAUGCCCAGGUUGAAGCACAGGUAAAAAUGUGUGGAGGACCGAACCAGUGAGC